This is a long non-coding RNA of Sus scrofa (pig), 4355 nucleotides long. RefSeq lists it as uncharacterized. The record is from RefSeq and is a predicted model, not a curated record. NCBI's taxonomy places the organism in Eukaryota, Metazoa, Chordata, Mammalia, Artiodactyla, Suidae.
UACAGAACUAAAAAAACUUCCCAUGAUAUAGUGGCAAAGUGUUCUACCAAAUCUCAUUUGGUCCAAAGUCUUCUGUGGACAAAUUUCCUUUUGCCUAAAUUGGUUUAAGUCCAUGAGCUAAGGCUGAUUCAGUUAUCUGAGCUAGGUUCUGAGUCACUUUUAAAGCUCUAUGAUGGACAAGCUGAGAAUUUCACCUAGGAUCAGAUCUCCUUGAAACACUUUGAGCUCCUGCAUUUUUAUAUCAUUCAGUCAGGCAUUCGUUCACAGAGUCAGUCAACAAAUAUUUCCUUGCAUGCCUCCCAUGUGCCAGACACUGUACUAGGUGAGGGAGGCACAGGCAAACAAGACAGACAGGAUUCUUGGGCUUCUGAAGUCUACAUGUGAAAGGGAGACAGACGGUCAACAAGGAAAAGGUACAUAAAGAAGCACAGUAAUUGCAGAGCAUGAUUAAGGGCUGUGAGAAAAUGCAACAGCAGCACGCGUUGUGUUGAUGGUGAGAGGGACCAUCAAGUCACUGGGGGGAGGAACCCUCCCUGGGAAGGCAACACUUGACCUGAGGCCACAGUGACCAAAAGAAGCCAGCAGAACCACAGUGAGACUUUAGAGACCUUAAACACAAGGAGAUUCGGUGGCCUCCCUCCUCCCCCUACCCGCAAGCAAUUAAAAAUUGUAAAAGCCAACCAAGGUUUCAAAUACGUGCAAAGAAUGUCAACAAAGUUCUGCUUCCCCCACCUUCACCCCAUAAGAACUACUUGAAUACUUUUGGGGAAAUAUCUUAAAUUCAUUCCAAAAUAUUUUCCCAUUUUUCUUUGCCAGUUCUCCAAAUAUACAUUUAAUCUGUUCGCUGACUUAGCACUUGGAACCUUCCAGGCAAAAAUCCAAGGAAAGAGGAUUCCAGAAAGAAAGAAGAGCAAAUGCAAAGACUCUGACAGGAGAACUUGGUAUGGGUGUCCUGAGAGUCAAAUACAGGGUUACUGGAGCAUGGCCAUGCCUGUUCUACAUUUCUGUGACUACUUUCACAGCCUCGAGGGUGACCAUCUCCUUAAACUUGGUUUCAUCAGACAAGUGGCUUGCUUCACCCAGCGCAGAGCAUUUUGGGGGCACAACAGCCCAGUAGAUGCCAUGUUGGACAAAGCCUGGAUACGUUCCAUGUGGCACAUUCCAGCAAAUGUUUGCUGAUCUCUGCUUAUUUUUGUUCACAGAAUGCUAUCGAGAACUGUUGGAAAAUUUUCAGUUGUGGAGGGAAGCAUGGUUUCAUUUUCCUUUUUCAAAAGAUGGCUUUAGCAGCUGUGAGGAGAAUGGGGGCAGGAGCAGAGACCACUAGAGGCUUUGGAGGUCACUGUGGGGAGACACUGGGGCCUGGACUCACAGAGAGCAGUAAGCAUCUCGUCUCCUAAUGGGCCAGCCCUUCCACAGCGAUGACAACAUGAGCCUGUAUUUCUCCUGAAAAGACCCCUGUCCUUCCACACAGUGUCGUCCAUUUUUCAGUAGAAAAAGAUGUCUUGAGGUUUCCCGUCCAAUUAAUCAUCUUGAGAGGCCUUUGAUGUACUUCCGCCCAGUUUGGGGCCUUCACAGAAACCUCUGGAACUUUGGUAUCUGUUUCAGUUUCCAGCUAUCUUGAAAGUGCCCCAGGACCUCAGCCCGAUAAGGAACCUGCUGUGGAGGCUGCUAUCGUGUGCCAGUUUCACCAGGGGACAAGCUGGCAGAACUGUAACACACCUGGGUGCAAACACUGUAAAGCAAACUCAAGCAUCAGGCAGGAGUUGGACUAGAUGACAUUCACGGGGCUGAGUGAAUACCAACGUACCUGAGCAUCUGGGCUCUUGAGAGAAAAACACUGGAUCACCACCACCACCAGGAGUUUUCUGAUUUCUCAUCUCAAUCGGGCCCUCCUUGUACGAAUCUUUGAUCAGCUCUCUCAUCCUCUCAAUGACUAUUCCUGAGCUUCAUUUAACUCUUGAAGGUCCCACCUAGGAUUGUGAGACAAAAUACGGAAUGGCCACUUAAAUCGGAUUUUAGAUAAAUGAAAAUAAAUACAUUUUAGUGUAUCUCCAAUGCAAUAUUUCAUAUGUCCUCUGUUUUCAUUUUCUACAUCUGACAACACAACUCGUAAGCCCUCUUCCUCUUGCAGCCAACUCUAUCUCAUGGUAAAACUGGAAGUCAUUAGCAGAAACUCCCUCAAUUUCCUGUCAUCUCCUCUUCAGAUGCACCUCCCUUAAGGCACACCCUCACCUGGCUCUCUCCCAGCCAAGGACUAACCCGUUGGAGACCAGCCUCUUUCCCUGGGCAUCUCCCAUGUGGAGGUCCUGACACAAAAGAGCAGAGCCAGAGGUUGUCCUGCAGGAUGAAGACGUCCACAGAGCCCAGGACUGGAUGCAUGUGUUUAGUGAAGAAGAAGCAAAUUUGAAAUAUUUGGAGCCAGAAGCUAGCCUGACUGAAUUUUACAGCUCAUGUAGGAAAGAAACCUGAUAAUUUUCCUAGAUCUGACAACAAUCUGAAACCCAUCAAUAGUUUUUGCGAUGCUGAAGAAAAUCUUUCUGAACUAUCCAUUCUUGAAAGUUUCAAACUAAACUAGAGGAAAGACUGAAUUACCUUUCUAUUUAGUCUAUGGAAAAUGAUGAUUGCAAUAUCAUCACAUUGCAAUAUAUGAAGUGGGGAAUAAAAUCUGUACAGUCAAAAAUUUUAGGGGAAAAAUGUUUUAGAGAUACUUCAAAUAAUUUGCUUUUUAAAUCACAUGACUUUCUAGAUUUUGAGAUGUUUGCAGUGUUUGUCUAUUUUCAAUCUUUUGUAAUUACUGUCAUUUCCUUUUUCUUUGGUAACUUAUUUUGUUUAUAACUUUGUAAAUGCAAACUUUUGUAAAAAUGGCCCCCACUAUUGUGUGGACUCCAAGACCCAGCCAAACCUGGAUCUAUUGCUAUGGGGCAGAACACUAGACUGGAGUGUACCCCAGUCAUUGUCAAUCGAGGUGAAAAAUUCACAGAGCCCAGAGGUGAGAAGGGGAGCAGACAAAGCACCUAGAAAAUUCCUUGAAGGAAAGAGUCAGUGAACUUGAUAAGUUCCAGAAAGGAAAAGCAAAUGCCCUCAGCAGCUCCUGACAUUUUCCUGGAGUUCCUUUCCCUGACAAGUCAGGCUCAGUUGGCGAGCAAUGGCUCCUCUUCCUUGGGUCAGCCCUGGAGUCAUUCUCUAGGAUCCCUUCCCUCUUAUCUACACAAUUAAAACUUCAUUGCCUGGGCUCUUCUAUUCCAUGUUUCUAAUCCACAUCUACUGUCUAAUGGCUGUCAACUCUCUGUCUCUGGGAGUCUAACUAGGCUCUGUGAGACUUUUCCUAAGCUUCAUGCUCAGGGGCACUCUUCUGAACAUGUUGCCAGCCCACAGCAGCCCCUCCAGUUGCCAUUUUGUACAGUGUGAUCCUGCCUCCUGGCCACAAGUCUGUUGGGUGGGGUCCAGGCUGGGCCAGUCAGCACCUCCUUUCCUAUCAUUGUGGAACUGGGGAGAGAUGGCCAAAGAUCCACUGACUUUCUUCAGAGGGCUGGAAAGGGUAUGGUUGAGCUUGGGGCGAGCUCCUCCCUCAGCAGAGCCGGAAGGGUCGUGUGCAGGGAAGGGGAAUGAGCUGACUGACAUUCAAGGAGGAGAUGAACCUCCCCAGCAAGAACAGUUGCCCGGCUUUCUAGGUCUUUGUGUCAGAACCUCCCCAAGACCCCUCCGACAAGACACCUCGUAUUCCCAGAAUAAAUCUCCCAUGCUAGCUUCUGAUUUCUGACACUAAUAACCAGACAGCUACUUUUCACUGUUACAUCUAGCCUCUGGGACAUACCACAAACUCAGAUUAAUCAACCCAAAUGCACUCACAGAGAGGAUUCUCUUUUUUCAAACAGAAGCAAUCCAGCUACAUUUGAGCACAUUUGAGAAUUUUUUUCUAGGUAGAAUUUUUGGAGCUUACUUCAAUAUGAUUAGAGAAAACUUUAUUAUUAAAUAAGCUUCCUUACAGUCCUUUGAAUUCCAGUCCAGCUGUUCCUUUACAGACACAGAACUUAUAAAUUGGGUUUCUCUAUAGGAGAUGGAGCUUAUUCCAACUUUUCCUGGAAUGCUAGAAUGAGUUGCAAAUUGAUAAAAAUUAUCCUUAUGAGGUUUACCAAUAAUGACUACAGGAAAGAUUUUAAACACGGCAUAUUACAUUGGAUUAUAUGCAAAAAAAGUGCCUUUAUUUGAAUUUUUAAAGAGUGGCCAUUGCCUCAAGAGGCAACAACAUGCUGUUGUUUUGAUAAGCAUCAUUUUCUAAAAUGACUGUGCAUCUUAAAGAACUUAAUAAUAGGAGUUCCCAUUGUGGUGCAGCAGAAACGAAUCCGACUAGGAAC